RNAcentral lists this ribosomal RNA (1341 nucleotides) under uncultured prokaryote. RNAcentral describes it as "16S ribosomal RNA". It matches the Rfam family "Bacterial small subunit ribosomal RNA", at positions 93 to 1453 of the family's 1533-position model. The record is from RNAcentral.
UAGCGGCGGAUGGGUGAGUAACGCGUGGGCAACCUGCCUCGAAGACCGGGAUAACAGUUCGAAAGGGCUGCUAAUACCGGAUGUGGUCAAGUGUCAGCAUGGGCAUUUGAUUAAAGGGGAAACCCGUUUCGAGAUGGGCCCGCGUCCUAUCAGCUAGUUGGUGAGGUAAAGGCUCACCAAGGCAAUGACGGGUAGCCGGCCUGAGAGGGUGACCGGCCACACUGGAACUGAGACACGAUCCAGACUCCUACGGGGGGCAGCAGUGGGGGAUAUUGCGCAAUGGGGGGAACCCUGACGCAGCGACGCCGCGUGAGCGAAGAAGGCCUUCGGGUCGUAAAGCUCUGUCUUUGGGGAAGAAUAAGAUGACGGUACCCAAGGAGGAAGCCCCGGCUAACUACGUGCCAGCAGCCGCGGUAACACGUAGGGGGCGAGCGUUGUCCGGAAUUACUGGGCGUAAAGGGUGCGUAGGCGGCCUUAUAAGUCAUGUGUGAAAAACCCGGGCUCAACCCGGGUAUUGCAAGUGAAACUAUAGGGCUUGAGUGCAGGAGAGGGAAGUGGAAUUCCUAGUGUAGCGGUGAAAUGCGUAGAGAUUAGGAGGAACACCAGUGGCGAAGGCGGCUUCCUGGACUGCAACUGACGCUGAGGCACGAAAGCGUGGGGAGCAAACAGGAUUAGAUACCCUGGUAGUCCACGCCGUAAACGCUGGAUACUAGGUGUAGGUACCGAUGAGGUAUCUGUGCCGUAGUUAACGCAAUAAGUAUCCCACCUGGGGAGUACGGCCGCAAGGCUGAAACUCAAAGGAAUUGACGGGGGCCCGCACAAGCAGUGGAGUAUGUGGUUUAAUUCGAAGCAACGCGAAGAACCUUACCAGGGCUUGACAUCCCUUGACAGUCCUAGAGAUAGGAUAUCCCUUCGGGGCAAGGAGACAGGUGGUGCAUGGUUGUCGUCAGCUCGUGUCGUGAGAUGUUGGGUUAAGUCCCGCAACGAGCGCAACCCCUGUUGUUAGUUGCCAGCAUUAAGUUGGGCACUCUAGCGAGACUGCCGGUGACAAAUCGGAGGAAGGUGGGGACGACGUCAAAUCAUCAUGCCCCUUAUGUCCUGGGCUACACACGUACUACAAUGGCUGUUACAGAGGGCAGCUAAGCCGCGAGGUGGAGCAAAUCCCUAAAAGCAGCCCCAGUUCGGAUUGCAGGCUGAAACCCGCCUGCAUGAAGUCGGAAUUGCUAGUAAUGGCAGGUCAGCAUACUGCCGUGAAUACGUUCCCGGGCCUUGUACACACCGCCCGUCACACCAUGAGAGUCGGCAACACCCGAAGUCAGUAGUUAACCGCAAGGAGAACGC